UGGGGGAUAUUGCACAAUGGGCGAAAGCCUGAUGCAGCGACGCCGCGUGAAGGAAGACGUACCUCGGUAUGUAAACUUCUAUCAGCAGGGAAGAAGAUGACGGUACCUGACUAAGAAGCCCCGGCUAACUACGUGCCAGCAGCCGCGGUAAUACGUAGGGGGCAAGCGUUAUCCGGAUUUACUGGGUGUAAAGGGAGCGUAGACGGCGAUGCAAGUCCGAUGUGAAAACCCGAGGCUCAACCACGGGAUUGCAUUGGAAACUGUAUUGCUUGAGUGCUGGAGGGGCAAGCGGAAUUCCUGGUGUAGCGGUGAAAUGCGUAGAUAUCAGGAGGAACACCGGUGGCGAAGGCGGCUUGCUGGACAGUAACUGACGUUGAGGCUCGAAAGCGUGGGGAGCAAACAGG
This 404-nucleotide ribosomal RNA is filed under the name uncultured prokaryote. RNAcentral describes it as "bacterial SSU rRNA". It matches the Rfam family "Bacterial small subunit ribosomal RNA", at positions 355 to 776 of the family's 1533-position model. The record is from RNAcentral. RNAcentral also lists the same sequence under 1 other name.